This 1696-nucleotide long non-coding RNA is filed under the name Numida meleagris (helmeted guineafowl). RNAcentral describes it as "lncRNA (ENSNMEG00000013164.1)". Lineage: Eukaryota; Metazoa; Chordata; Aves; Galliformes; Numididae. The record is from RNAcentral.
UGGGGAGAAGAGGCAAAGAAUUAAGCUCAGACUUGAGAUGGUCCCAAAAAUACAGUCACAUUCAGAGACAUUCCACUGUAUUAAUUUUGCCCUCCGCUGACAUUUUAAUACCAUGCCAACUUUUAUCCCAGAUUAAUUUGUUUCAUCCCAAUAUAAGGCAUGGAGUGGAAAUAUCUGACAUAUUGUGGCAGUGGAGAAUGAGAGCCCAUCUAUUUGCUGGUGCCUUUGACUUGGAAUUUGGAACACAGUGGCGGGAGCUUGAGCCAGGCACCAGCUAGCUCCUUGUGAUGGCAGUCAUGCCUGCAUUUGUACUGCACAAGUCCAAAGGAGCACUUGGUUCAUUCUGCGUAACAGGAGGUGAGCCUCGAUUUACCUCAGCUCUGUAGGGUGAAUAUUCUUUAAGAUCUGUCUAAAACACCUACAAAGCUACUUCCAAGAAUCCUUUGGAAAUCCCUUAUGUAGCCAGGGUUUUGCUACCAGUCCAGCAAUUUGAGAUCCACCUCUGCUGAUCUGUAGGGGAGAGGAGCCAGGAGGUUUUGGCUUCAAACUCAGCUACCCUCCAGCUCGCCUCUGUUAUGGGGACAGAACUUCAAAGAAAACAUAGCCCCUGCCGUGAAUCGGGACUCUGGUGUUGGUUCAUCGCUUUCAAUCUGAGUAUGUAGAUGGGGUUAAAAUAAUCCCCAUUCUAACUGUUCACCCAUCUCAUUUUUCAGCACUGUGCCCUCUGGGAAGUGUGACUGGCUGAAAGAAACACAUUUGGAAGCUCAGUGUUGUGACAGACAAGAAAUUGGAUGAGAAAACAGAGGAAGGGCAGACUACAGAAACAGUUUAGAGGAGACAGCUCAUGGUGUUGGCAGUGGUUGUAUGGAGAAGUGGAUUUUAAUGAAGUGCAGUUCUCUUACUCCACUGGAACUUCAGCAAUCACAAGCUGAAUGAUAGCAUCCUGUCAAGAUAACGCUGACAACGUUGUUACUGAGAGGAAAGAUUUAUUCUGAAUCCAUGAAUUUUGUAGCAAAAUUACACUUUAAAAUGACUUGUCAUGAUUCUUUAUUCUUAUUUACAUUCUUCUGAGAAUAUUUUUUCCUUGGAAGUAAUAUGAAAGGGCAGUAGCCGACCAGACUUUAAGGUGAGAUUCCUUUCACCUAACCAGGUUUCUAUGGUGCAGAUGUUUGCAGCCGCAGUGGACACCCAAAACUCCCUGUAGAGGGAGAAACAGGCACUUUAGGGGCUGCAGAUAUUGACCUUGUGUGGAGGUGAGAUCCACACUAGCCUCUGGCUGUACAGACAGCAUGCUGCAGCUGGCUCUGCAAGCAGUGUUGCUGGAACAACGCAGAUAGAACAAGUGGAGGAAAGCACUGCAAAUGAGCUAUCAAAGUGGAAAUCAGCCCCAUAUUUUCAAAGUUUUUGUCUACCAGAAGGUUCAAAGUCCUGCAUCAAAAGUGACUUCUUAAGGCAUGAUGCAUGUGUGACUGAUUCUGUUUGUGCCUAAUCCUGCCCUUUCUCCAGUGGCUUUCAACCCAGCUGUGAAUUUCAGCCACAUCAAAAAGAGGCAGUAAUGUCUCAAAGACAAAUUUAUUUUGAAAAUUAAUGUUUGUAUAGAGAAACCAAAUGAAUGAAAGAGGGUGGCACCAGGAGCUGGGCAGCUCCUUGCCACAUUGGACUCACAGCCAGCUGCCCUGCCACCAGCAGGCUCUGA